Anastrepha ludens (Mexican fruit fly) is the source of this 1060-nucleotide long non-coding RNA. RefSeq lists it as uncharacterized. The record is from RefSeq and is a predicted model, not a curated record. The transcript is spliced from 3 exons. Lineage: Eukaryota; Metazoa; Arthropoda; Insecta; Diptera; Tephritidae.
UUGAAUAAUAAAUCAAAAAAGAAAACCAAAAUCAAAACAAUAAAAUCUAAAAUCACAAAAAUUAUACGUAAAAAAAUAAUUCAAUAAAAAUACUUGGAAAUGGCAAACGCGUGGUCUCAUUCUUCUUCUAGCAUCAAACCAGCACGGAUCAGAACAUUCCAAUGUUGCCCACCAACUACUCUACGUAUACGAUUAGAGAGCACCCAGAUCCCGAACGUCGUAGUGAAACUAUAAUUUCUGUGGCGCUAGCAGUCAUAGCUGUGGCCGUUGGUAUUUUUUGCAUCAUCUUUUGGGUGCGGUGCCGCAAAUUUCCUUUACGGAGGAGUACCAACAGGCAACUGGAACAGCUGGAACUCGCUGGUCGGGGGCCGACGAGUAGCUCGGUGCCCUCACAAGUUUCGGUGGAUGCGGUAUCACUCCAACAGCAAAGAGCCGGGCGUGUCAGAUUUGAAGCACCAAUACCGUAGAAAUACUAUACGAUAGCCUAAGAAUAUCAGCAUUACUCCUCCAGACUGCUGAAAUACUCAAUGAAAAGUGAAAAAAUUGUGCAUGCAAAUCUAAUUAAACUUCGGCUCACCUUCAAUAACCUGUUUUAAAUUCAACGUACAAUUGCCUCUUCUCUUCGAAACUAACUUUUCUUCUUCAUUUUUGCAAAGUUCGUUAAUUGAAAAGUUUAUUUCACUGAAGUUUCAAGAAAUUGUAUCAAAUUUUUUGUGAACAGAAAUGCAUUUUUACGCAGAUUUAUUUAUUUUAGCUGCUUGGUUUGUGGGACUUUAAAAACGUUUUAAUAGUUUUUGGCUACUGGGUUGCAGAAGAAAAAGUGUUAAAACCCCCAUAUAACUCAUAGCUUACUGGCACAAUAUCUGGCGACUAUAGAAAGCUUCUUGAAGUGAUUGAACUCGAUACACGAUCGAGAGAAUAAUAAGGUGGCGCCCAUCGUGGUACCGUUACUUUGCGCUCAGCGAAUUCAACAAUAUCAGCUGAUUUUCGUGGCGUCAUACUGGUGCAUUUUUUGUUAUCAAGCUUCGAAGUUCUAGCUCUUUCUUCCUUAAAUUUUUUU